RNAcentral lists this long non-coding RNA (2634 nucleotides) under Sus scrofa (pig). RNAcentral describes it as "lncRNA (ENSSSCG00000056237.1)". The record is from RNAcentral. Lineage: Eukaryota; Metazoa; Chordata; Mammalia; Artiodactyla; Suidae.
AAAAAAUUGAGAUGUAAUUUGCUUACCAUAAAAUUCACCAUUUUAAAGUGUACAAUUCAGUGAAUUCUAGUAUAUUUAAACAUUGUGCAACCACCACCGCAAUCUAAUUCUAGAAUAGUCUCAUCAUCUUAAAAAGAAAUCCCAUGCCCUCCUUCCCCCGUCCCUGGCAACUACUAAUCCAUUUUCUGUCUCUCUGGAUUUGCUUAUUCUGGAAACACAAAUGCAGUCCUAAAAGACGUGACUUUUGUCCCUGACUUCUUUCACUUGGCGUAAUGUUUUCAAGGUUCGUCUAAGUUGUCUGUUACCUCUUUCAAUCCUCUUAACAACAACCUGUUAAACAGUACCAAACUGACUUCACCCUGGAGGAAAUGGAAACACAUGUUAACUUGCUCUUGGGCACGAGAAUCACACACUCAUUCAACAAAUAUGCAUGAAGCACCUGCACGGGCCAGACCUAUUCUGCCAGGUGAGGUUAUGGUACUUGGGGGUGUUGAUGGUGCCACAUAAACAAACAGAUACACAUCUAAUGUAAUCUUCAAUAGUCAGAUGUCCACUGAAGAGAAAUAAAGCAAAAGGAAUGAACAGGUAGUGUCGGGGUAUGACUUCGGGUAAAGCGGUCGGGGUGCAGCUCUCUGAGGAGGUACCAUUUGGGGGAGACCUGGAUGGAGGGAGGGAGGACCUCCCACAGAAGUCACUGCAGGCAGAGGGAUCAACAGCUGCAAAGGCUCUGAGGCAGGAGCGUGUUUGGUGGAGGAGCAGGGAAGCCCGUGUGACUCAGGGCAAUGAGAGCGGGGAGGAGGGGAGGGCGGAGGAGGCCGGAGCGUUGGCCUCAGGUGGGUGCAGCACAGCCCGCCUUGCACAGGGUGAUGGGGGGCUCUCAGGCGCCCGCAGGCAGCGUGGUGGAAGAAUGGGGCCCAUCUCCUCCCGCACACUUGCUUUGUCUCAGUGACAAAAAGAAAAAUCAUCACUGAGAGCGAGGAGGGUGGUGGCAUCAAAAUUAAGAAGGCGAAGAGAAUGCACGGCCUAGGCUGCUUGCUGGAGCUGCUUGGCAGCAGCGAGGAACCACCUGAAGUCUGUGGUGCAUUGCUUUCCAGUCGCAUUAAGCCACCAGAGGGCAACGCAAGGCGCAAGGCACGUGGGGAAGUGUUUUAACCCGCGCUGAGAUUUUGCCAAGUGAGGAGAACAACGGGAAAGGAGGGCAGGAGAGCUGAGGAUGUUCCCCAGGGAGGGAUUUUACAAAGACCACGCGGUCUAAUCUGGGAAGGCAGGAAGGGCGAGAUGGACUGAGGGUUGGUGGGAUUAAUGGGCUGCAGACUGGCUGCUGAGGGAGUGAGCUGGAAAACAGGAGGUGGUGUCUGGAGAGUUUGCAGCCACUGGUCACGACAAAGGCUAAUGGAGACUCUGGGACUGGGUGGCUUAGGUGGGUGGACGAUAAGAUUAUGAGAGAAGUUCCAGAAAAUGAUAGGCCAGGGUACUGGGCGGAUCCUUGCUGUGAAUCAUGAAGUCACCGAGAGUGAGGACAACGAGGAAAGUGGUGGGGAGGAGGAGAGAGGGAGGGAGAUGUUAGUGAGAACAGGGGAAGCGGCAGACGACCAUAAAGGCAGGGGCAGCGGGGCAGCGGGUGGGUGGUAUUUCAAAAGAGCCCUGCAUUUUCAGGAGGAGGGGGAAUACUGAUCCGGAGCUGGCAAAGCUGAGCAAAGUUCACCGUGAUUAGCAGCUGGGGGCGUGCGAUGGAUCAAGUGAGGACUGAACUAAGUCUAUCUGAGUUCAAACCAUUUCCAUGAUACCAUCUCAGGGUUUGGAAUUUAGUUCUUGGACCUCGAUUUCAACAUCCUCCUGUCAUCCCUGAAGUGUACACUAUUUGCCUGCCCCCAAAGUGGUUAAUAUGCUGAAGAGACUAGAUCCUCUGACCUGUCCUUUCCCCGGUCGGGAUUUCGUGGUUGCAUCCCCAUGGUGUUUCUAACGUGCUCCUCUGAUCUCCGUAACUCCUGGAAACUGGGAAGCAGAUCUUGAGGGUGAUCAGACUCCGGUUUCAUUUUUGGUAAGAAUCCUCAUACAUGGUGUUGUGUCCUUGAUCAGAGCCAUGUAACGUCGGUUGUCUGUUUCUCGCUUUGUGUUGUCAGUAGUCGCUGGUGACUCUGCCUAGGUCCAUUAUUAGAUCUGUUACUUCCUUAGGGCAAAAGCCCUCGAUGUUGUAUCAGAUCUUGUUACUGGAUGGACAGCUCUGAAAAAGGGCAAAUUCCCUUCAGUUGUGGCUACCCGGAGGUCUAAGUCAUUUAGGAAAGAUACAGGCUUUAUCGGUUCACUUUUUCAAGGGGUUUAUCUGAGAAACUUGUGGUUUUAAGGAUGCGUAGGUUUUGUCUUUAAGGUAUUUAAUUGUAGCUUGUCCUACUUUAGAAUUAGACAUUUACAGGAUGCAGUUUCACAUGUGACUUAAUACUCCCAGUUAAAUGGGAAUAUAUUACAGGAUUUAGUUCUAACGCUCUUGAAAGGGCUGCACUGAGAAGGAACGCACAUGUUCAAGAAGCAGAUUUCCAAUGCUCAGCUGCAUUUCACAGAAGCUCCUAAAAUAUUACAAUCUCUCCUGAAAGGCGACCAACUAAACAUCUGAGAGCAAAGGUUCAGGUCCAUGCA